UGAGGAAUAUUGGACAAUGGAUGGAAAUCUGAUCCAGCCAUGCCGCGUGCAGGAAGACGGCCCUAUGGGUUGUAAACUGCUUUUGUAUGGGAGCAAUAAGGACUACGUGUAGUUUGAUGAGAGUACCAUACGAAUAAGCAGCGGCUAACUCCGUGCCAGCAGCCGCGGUAAUACGGAGGAUGCGAGCGUUAUCCGGAUUUAUUGGGUUUAAAGGGUGCGUAGGCGGCGAUAUAAGUCAGUGGUGAAAUAUUUCGGCUUAACCGAGAGACUGCCAUUGAUACUGUGUUGCUAGAAUAUGGUUGCUGUCAGUGGAAUGUGUGGUGUAGCGGUGAAAUGCUUAGAUAUCACACAGAAUAUCGAUUGCGAAGGCAGCUCACAAAGCCAUUAGUGACGCUGAGGCACGAAAGUGUGGGGAUAAAA
RNAcentral lists this ribosomal RNA (420 nucleotides) under uncultured bacterium. Its description in RNAcentral is "bacterial SSU rRNA". It matches the Rfam family "Bacterial small subunit ribosomal RNA", at positions 355 to 772 of the family's 1533-position model. The record is from RNAcentral.